AAAAUGUUCGUAAUGAACGGAUCUUCGAUGGUCGAGCCUGCCAAGGACACGGAACCCAGCACCACCUACCCGAGCCAAGGUACUCAACCUUUGGAAAGGGUCUUUAAUGUGAAUUGCGAACAACCCACAAGGGUGGUAUGAUUGAAACAUAGUUUGAAUAGGGGCACAAGUCUAGAGCUGUGGUAUGGAAAAUAGAUGAGAAAAAAAAACCUCAUCUCUUUACUUAGUCAGAGUCAUUGUUUUACUCUUUCUAUCUGCAUGACUGCUUUCUUAUGAUGAGUAGUGCCCAUCACUUGCCUCUCUGUGCCCUGUAUGAAGGAGCAUCCACUGCGCUUACUAGUGGGUCGGGGGUAAGGUGCAAGCAUAUAGGUCAGAAGACGAGUUAGAGCAGGAAGUGGUAGUCCGGUAAAAGUAAUAAGAGUAUUGAGGCCAUUGGUGUUUUCAUUGGUCAGCAAGAGUAGGUCUGCCGAAUUUCAAGUAAUACGUAAUGAGAAAAGAUACGUCUAUUUGAGUGAAUGAGUUGAUAAACGAAAUGAGCGAAGCAGCUCCUAUGAGUGAAAGCUAGAAAUGCUUAGACUUGUUAAUGCGCUGACCUGUUCAUACUAUCGAAAUAGGUUCGAGAUUCACUCUAUCACCAGGUACCCCAUCCGGCCGGCUUAGACUGAGGGUAAGACGAGAUCCUACGUUUUGUAUCUUUAGCAUCCCAAUUACGUCCAGCCUUACUAUAAAGAAUAAAGAUAGACCCUGGGAACUUCCAAGUGAAAUGAGUUCGAGAUUCACUCUAUCACCAGGUACCCCAUCCGGC
This 805-nucleotide long non-coding RNA is filed under the name Nicotiana benthamiana. RNAcentral describes it as "long non-coding RNA (NBEN_LNC016743)". Lineage: Eukaryota; Viridiplantae; Streptophyta; Magnoliopsida; Solanales; Solanaceae. The record is from RNAcentral.